This 338-nucleotide long non-coding RNA is filed under the name Cyanistes caeruleus (blue tit). Its description in RNAcentral is "lncRNA (ENSCCEG00000009315.1)". Lineage: Eukaryota; Metazoa; Chordata; Aves; Passeriformes; Paridae. The record is from RNAcentral.
UUUUUCUGCUGCAGUAAUUGUUAAGUGAUCUCUCUCUGCUCUUAUCUCAACCUAUGAACAUACCAUUAAUAUUUUCUCUUUCCUGCCCAGUUGAGAGGAGAGUGAUGGCAUGGUUUGGUGGCCACCUGGCAUCCAGACAAAGUCAACUACCACACAAAUUAUUAAUUUUCCGUGGAUAUUUUGAAAUCUGUCAUCUUAUAGGUAAGAAGAAACCCUGCUGCAAGAAAGACAGCCAGGACAAGUCACUGAAGUUAUGGUCAUAUGGGAAUGUAUUAAUAAGUUUUUCAGGUCAAAUGAAAUUCUCUCUAGCAAAGAACCUACAGCAAAACUUGCUCUGA